Molecule: long non-coding RNA, 1596 nt
Organism: Takifugu rubripes (torafugu)
Lineage: Eukaryota; Metazoa; Chordata; Actinopteri; Tetraodontiformes; Tetraodontidae
Source: Ensembl
UUACCUCAGCGCACCUUCCUGCUGAUGAACCUCAGCUGCUCUCUAGACGUUCAGCAGCAGUCAAAACGUCAAUGACCUGUUGUGCACCACAGACGAUACCAGAACACAGGUUGUUGAAACGCUAAGAAGUGUUGAAAAAGAUGAGUAGAUUCAUGCGUCAAAGGUCAACCAGCCUAUUGUUAAGUGUGAGAGGGCAUGGCUGCAGCGCACCGUCAGCAGGAGGGCAGGGAGGAUGUGCAGUCAUUAGGCCUGAACUUUAACUCUGUGUUGAUGAAAGCUGGAGGAGGGUUCAUGGAAGGAUGGUGGACCAGUGUCCGCACAAGCAGCAGACCCACAAUCGAUCCUCUGAGUGACUUCAGGGAACACCUCUUCCUGAUGGGGUACAGGACGCAACCUGCUUACGUAAAUAAGCCGGGGGAGAAAGCGCGGGGUGCCAAAGCUGAGAGGAAACUUCAUGCAGACGCCUCACAGCAACCUUCUGAAGAUAUCGACCUUCAGACCAGGGCAACUUUUGACUGUCCUGCAUCACACAGUGUGUCCUGUUUUCCCCCUCUAUUAUUUGUAGUCUUGUUGUUUCGUGGUCAUCCUCCAGACGACUGGCAUAACUCAUGGAUGUUGGGAUUUUUUCCAUCUUCUCAUUUAUCUCCGUAUCGCUGGGCGACUGCAGUCACGCUGAGCAUCCUGCUGUAAUGAGGCCAGGUCUAUGAGGCCAGGGGAUGUGCUCGCAUAAAUACAGACAUACAGGACCAACAAAGCCUGCCCCUGUUUUUUUCUCACUAUUAUAUAAACGUCAAAAUAGUUUAAACAAAGGAAAACAAAUAACUCCACAGGUUGGGAUGUUUAUACCGUAAGUGGCAUGAGGCCAUGAUCAACCUGACAGUAAUAUUUAUAUCCAUGUAUCCACCCAGGAAACAUGUUUGUGCAAUUCAACCCUUAUCAACAUUUUUUUGGUCAAAUAAAACAUAUUCCUGCAUAUUUCUGGUCGCAUUCCGAAGGGUUUUGCCAAAGUUUUUUUUGGAUUGGCCCUUGAGCUAACUAAAGGGAACUUCCUGUGGAGCGUCUGGGACCACGUCGGAGUCUGAUGAUUUAAUGUGACAGCUGAUAAUGAAACAAACAGGUUGGUGUGUCUGUUGGCUCUGAUUUGGAUUUGAGUGGACACUGGCAGGCUGCACCCUGGCCCUCUUUAUCGCUAAAUAAAGAUCCACUUGGUGGAUACACUUAGAUAACAUAAAUCAGGAUAUCCCAUCAGGAGUGACGAAGUGCACUAUUGUUUUGGUUCAAGUGGGCAGCCAUCCUGACAGUGUAUACUGGUCAUGAGGACGGGACGUUCUCCAUUGAAUUUCACAUGGGUCCUGUCAGAAAUCCCGAUCUCGUUAUACAAUGAGUUACCCGAGGAGACCACAUGCAAAACCAGCUAGUAGAUGUGCUGCUUAUAAAAGUUUAAUGUGCUUCAAUAUCUUGAUUGAAUAAGUAAACUCCCCUUCAUUUUGCAACUUUAAUUAACCCUUGUGUGGUGUUCGGGUCUGUGGGACCCAGCUUGUGUUGUGCACCUGAAUGGGUUAAAUUUCAAGUUCAAAGAAAUAAAAGUCAGUACGG